RNAcentral lists this microRNA precursor (74 nucleotides) under Medicago truncatula (barrel medic). RNAcentral describes it as "MIR5272 microRNA precursor family". It matches the Rfam family "MIR5272 microRNA precursor family". Lineage: Eukaryota; Viridiplantae; Streptophyta; Magnoliopsida; Fabales; Fabaceae. The record is from Rfam by way of RNAcentral.
UUAGAUAUGAAUUGAUUUUUGUUUGGAUAAACUUAUUUAAAAGUGAUUCUUAUGAGUGGAUGUUGUUUGGAUAG